This is a small nuclear RNA of Neofelis nebulosa (Clouded leopard), 194 nucleotides long. RefSeq annotates it as U2 spliceosomal RNA. Lineage: Eukaryota; Metazoa; Chordata; Mammalia; Carnivora; Felidae. The record is from RefSeq and is a predicted model, not a curated record. The transcript has a single exon.
AUUGCUUCUCAGCCUUUUGGCUAAGAUCAAUUGUAGCAUCUGUUCUUAUCAGUUUAACAUGUGACACGUCCUCUAUCGGAGGACAACAUAUUAAAUGGAGUUUUGGAGCCGGAGAUAUAGAAUAGGAACUUGCUCUGUCCACUCCGCACAUCGACCUGGGAUUGCAGAACCUCGGGCGGAUUGGGGGGGGGGGG